RNAcentral lists this ribosomal RNA (250 nucleotides) under uncultured bacterium. RNAcentral describes it as "partial 16S ribosomal RNA". It matches the Rfam family "Bacterial small subunit ribosomal RNA", at positions 524 to 773 of the family's 1533-position model. The record is from RNAcentral.
UACAGAGCCUGCAAGCGUUAUUCGGAUUCACUGGGCGUAAAGGGUGCGCAGGCGGCCGUGUGUGUUAGGUGUGAAAGCCCGGGGCUUAACCUCGGAAUUGCGCCUAAAACUACACGGCUAGAGCAUUGGAGAGGGUAGCGGAAUUCACGGUGUAGCAGUGAAAUGCGUAGAUAUCGUGAGGAACACCAGAGGCGAAGGCGGCUACCUGGACAAUUGCUGACGCUCAGGCACGAAAGCGUGGGGAGCAAAA